UGCAUGGGGUGCAAACGUUGCUCGGAAUUAUUGGGCGUAAAGCGCGCGUAGGCGGUUACUUAAGUCGGAUGUGAAAGCCCUCGGCUUAACUGAGGAAGUGCACCCGAAACUGAGUAGCUAGAGUACGAAAGAGGGUCGCGGAAUUCCCGGUGUAGAGGUGAAAUUCGUAGAUAUCGGGAGGAACACCGGUGGCGAAGGCGGCGACCUGGGUCGAGACUGACGCUGAGGCGCGAAAGCGUGGGGAGCAAACAGG
RNAcentral lists this ribosomal RNA (253 nucleotides) under uncultured bacterium. Its description in RNAcentral is "partial 16S ribosomal RNA". It matches the Rfam family "Bacterial small subunit ribosomal RNA", at positions 524 to 776 of the family's 1533-position model. The record is from RNAcentral.